UACAGAGGGGGCAAGCGUUGUUCGGAAUUACUGGGCGUAAAGGGCGCGUAGGCGGCCUUCUAAGUCGAACGUGAAAUCUCCAGGGCUCAACCCGGAAACUGCUUCGCAUACUGGCAGACUUGAGGAAUGCAGAGGUUUGUGGAAUUCCUGGUGUAACGGUGAAAUGUGUUGAUAUCAGGAGGAACACCCAUGGCGAAGGCAGCAAACUGGGCAUUAUCUGACGCUGAGGCGCGAAAGCGUGGGUAGCAAACAGG
This 254-nucleotide ribosomal RNA is filed under the name uncultured bacterium. Its description in RNAcentral is "partial 16S ribosomal RNA". It matches the Rfam family "Bacterial small subunit ribosomal RNA", at positions 524 to 776 of the family's 1533-position model. The record is from RNAcentral.